This 1053-nucleotide long non-coding RNA is filed under the name Equus caballus (horse). RNAcentral describes it as "lncRNA (ENSECAG00000054068.1)". Lineage: Eukaryota; Metazoa; Chordata; Mammalia; Perissodactyla; Equidae. The record is from RNAcentral.
AGUGGGUCUCCAUUUUUACCGACGAGGACGACAGGCCUUGGAGAGGGAGUAACUUAAGAGGCUGGUUGGGGUCCUGGCCAUCUGGCUCCAGGGCUCUGCUUGUCCAGGUUUCCCAGGUAAAGAAACGCGUGGACCUGGACAUCCCCUACUCACGCGCAGUUUGCUCAGCCAGCCCUCAUGGGAGAGUCGUUGGAGAGGGGCUGGGGAAGGGAGAGAAGCCCAGUUCCGCGUGUGGCCUGGGAACAUGGGCGAGAUGUGUGUGAGUGAAGGUGGAGAGGGCAGCGGCCACAGGAAGGAAGCAAGGGAUCUCAUUGGGUCCCCUCAGGCGGGCAGGCCCUGCCGAUAAAAACACGGCUGCUUUCACCACAGCCUCUUGCUGGCUCCCAACCUCAAACACAAAUUCCCCCAGGGCAUUCUGCUCCUCUCCCAUCCUGGGAUGAAGCCUCUCCUGGGGGAUGGAGGAUGCAGUGGGCGUGCUCAGCGGGGCUGGGGUUUGGGGUUCCGGUGGUGGCCAGCUCCAAACUUUGGAAGCCGAUGGGAGGGCUGCUUUCUGGGAGUCCUUCUGGGAGUCCCCUCACCCCUAGGCCAAGGAGCAUUUGUCUUUGGGGGAAGGAAAGCUGGGGGCAAGAGGUAGGCACUGCAGGGGUAGCAGAGAUCCCCGGGGCCCUGGGAGGCGCUUUGAGGGAGCCAGCCCAGAUUCCUGCCCGCAGGGAGGUCAGAACCAGAACAGCAGCUGAUCUGAUAGGCUGUGAUCUAUAAUUUAUACCCAGCUCCUUCUAGAAAGGACUGGCGGCUGCCUGCCAGGGGAUUUGUAGCCGUAAGUUUUGCUUUGAUGAAGCUAAGGGAGUUCAGGUUGUCCCUCUGGUUGGGUGUUCCUGAAUUAACACCAUCUGUGAAGCUCUUGCCCACAGGUUAACCUCUUUAUCCUCACGGCACUGCUGCAGAGCCCGAAUGAUUAUGUGACAGAUGGGGAAACUGAGGCUCAGAGGGUGAAGUGACUUGCCUAAGAUCCCACUCCUGGGGAAGAGACGAUUUAAGUCCAGGACUGUUCGU